AAAUACAUCUCUAUAUAGUUAGUUACCUGUUUGCUUUCCUAUGCAAACAGCCAACAGGCCUUUCAAUUAUAAAAGGACAUUUUCGUUCUCAAGUUUAAUUAUUGUUAUCUAUAUUAUUAUAUUGCCAAUACUCACCAACCUGAUAGCUCAACAAGUAUAUCAUUAUUCGUUAUGUAAACUUUUGGUUAUCAUUUUAACUAACCUCCUCUAGACUUAUUUAACAAAUGUAGCUUAUGUAAUAUAAUAUCAAAAUCCAAUCUUGAAAAAUGAAUCAUUUUCAAGAAUCAGAAGCGGAAUCAGAAUAUCAAACUUACGUCCAAACUCGUACAUUAGUCUCUAGUUUGGGCCGGAUUAUAAUAGACAAAGUUUACCGCUCUCGUCAUUUUGUUCUUGCAUCUGUUAUCCAACUUCCAAUAAAACUCAAUUACUAUGCCCAAUUUAGCACUUUCUCCCUCUCCAAAAAAGUGAAAACUCAGACCACAAAACUGGAAAAACUUCACCUUCUCGACAACAAGCCAUGCAACAAUGACCAAAACCACCUGUGACCAGGUUAAAAAUACAACACAGAUAUGAGAUAACUAUGUCACUCUACCAUCUGAAAAAUUUUGUCUUAAAAAAACAGUUCAGAUUUGGUCUCUUCGUUUUUUCUUGUUCCACGUUUUCCAAUUUGUUUCACAGUUUUCCUAUAUUUCCCUUCAGCUUUCUUGUUUGACCCACCAAUCCCCUCUUCACAUUUUGACCCUUCUUCCUAUUAUAUAAACACAACAACCAAAAACCUACAAAGCAUUUAUAAAUUCAUAAUAUCAUCAAACAGUUUGGUGAAGGGGCAAGGAAGAAGAAGAAGAAGAAGAAGAAGAAGAGAGAGCUUUACUGCAUUGCUUAUGGCAUCCAUUUGGAUAAUGAUAUCUCCAUGGACACCUUAUCUCUUCUCUUUCAUAGCUCUUAUACUUCUUCUUGAACAAAUCUUUUACCUCAAAAAGAAGCGUUUUCUUCCUGGUCCGAGUUUAGUGUUUCCCUUUUUUGGCAACGUUUUCCCUUUAGUCACCAACCCCACCAAAUUCUGGGACCUUCAAUCCGCUUUAGCUAAGUCUACAAGACAUGGUUUCUCAGCUAAUUACACCAUCGGUAAGUUCAUUCUAUACAUCCAUUCCACUGACCUCUCUCACAAGGUCUUCGCCAAUGUCCGCCCCGACGCUUUCCAUCUCAUCGGUCACCCUUUCGGGAAAAAGCUAUUCGGGGAGCAUAACUUGAUUUACCUAUUUGGGCAAGAACAUAAAGACCUCCGCCGAAGAAUUGCCCCAAAUUUUACCCCGAAAGCUCUUGCUACGUACACCGAUAUCCAACAGAGGAUUAUUAUCAAACACUUCAAGUCCUGGUUGGAUGAAGCAUCUAAAUCCCCUAGCACUCCAAUCCCGCUUCGUCUCCUUUGCCGGGACAUGAAUUUAGAUACUUCCCAGAUCGUCUUUGUCGGUCCAUACUUGAAUGAAGAAUCUAGAAGGCGAUUCAAUGUUGAUUACAAUUACUUCAAUGUUGGGUUGAUGAAACUCCCCGUUGAUUUACCGGGUUUCGCUUUCAGAAACGCUAGGUUAGGAGUUGGGAGAUUGGUCGAAACUCUUUCGGUUUGUGUGGAACAGAGCUUAAACAAGAUGAAAAGUGAAGAACAACCUACAUGCUUAAUUGAUUUCUGGAUGCAGGAGAAUUUAAGAGAGAUUAACGAAGCUAAGAAAAAUGGAUUAACAAAGCCAUUUGAGUACAGUAACAAGGAACUUGGAGGUUACCUAUUCGACUUCCUCUUUGCAGCUCAAGAUGCUUCUACUUCUGCUUUACUAUGGGCACUGGUGCUAUUGGAUUCUCACCAAAAUGUUCUUGAGAAAGUCCGGGAAGAAGUAGCGAAAUUCUGGUCGUCG
RNAcentral lists this long non-coding RNA (1907 nucleotides) under Capsicum annuum. RNAcentral describes it as "long non-coding RNA (CANN_LNC003322)". Lineage: Eukaryota; Viridiplantae; Streptophyta; Magnoliopsida; Solanales; Solanaceae. The record is from RNAcentral.